UACGGAGGGGGCUAGCGUUGUUCGGAAUUACUGGGCGUAAAGCGCACGUAGGCGGCUUUGUAAGUUAGAGGUGAAAGCCCGGGGCUCAACCUGGGAACUGCAUUUGAAACUGGCGGGCUUGAGUGCGGCAGAGGGGGGUGGAAUUCCGCGUGUAGCAGUGAAAUGCGUAGAUAUUGGGAGGAACACCAGUGGCGAAGGCGGCUCACUGGACCGGAACUGACGCUGAGGCGCGAAAGCGUGGGGAGCAAACAGG
RNAcentral lists this ribosomal RNA (253 nucleotides) under uncultured bacterium. Its description in RNAcentral is "partial 16S ribosomal RNA". It matches the Rfam family "Bacterial small subunit ribosomal RNA", at positions 524 to 776 of the family's 1533-position model. The record is from RNAcentral.